UCCGUAGGCGGGCAGCUAAGUCAGUGGUGAAAGUCUGCAGCUCAACUGUAGAAUUACCAUUGAUACUGGUUGUCUUGAAUUAUUAUGAAGUGGUUAGAAUAUGUAGUGUAGCGGUGAAAUGCAUAGAUAUUACAUAGAAUACCAAUUGCGAAGGCAGAUCACUAAUAAUAUAUUGACGCUGAUGGACGAAAGCGUGGGGAGCGAACAGGAUUAGAUACCCUGGUAGUCC
RNAcentral lists this ribosomal RNA (229 nucleotides) under uncultured bacterium. Its description in RNAcentral is "partial 16S ribosomal RNA". It matches the Rfam family "Bacterial small subunit ribosomal RNA", at positions 568 to 796 of the family's 1533-position model. The record is from RNAcentral.